CCUACGGGAGGCAGCAGUGGGGAAUAUUGGACAAUGGGGGCAACCCUGAUCCAGCCAUGCCGCGUGUGUGAAGAAGGCCCUCGGGUUGUAAAGCACUUUCAGUGAGGAAGAACGCCUGGUGGUUAAUACCCAUCAGGAAAGACAUCACUCACAGAAGAAGCACCGGCUAACUCCGUGCCAGCAGCCGCGGUAAUACGGAGGGUGCGAGCGUUAAUCGGAAUUACUGGGCGUAAAGCGCGCGUAGGUGGCUUGAUAAGCCGGUUGUGAAAGCCCCGGGCUCAACCUGGGAACGGCAUCCGGAACUGUCAAGCUAGAGUGCAGGAGAGGAAGGUAGAAUUCCCGGUGUAGCGGUGAAAUGCGUAGAGAUCGGGAGGAAUACCAGUGGCGAAGGCAGCCUUCUGGACUGACACUGACACUGAGGUGCGAAAGCGUGGGUAGCAAACAGGAUUAGAUACCCUAGUAGUC
This 465-nucleotide ribosomal RNA is filed under the name Vreelandella stevensii. RNAcentral describes it as "partial 16S ribosomal RNA". It matches the Rfam family "Bacterial small subunit ribosomal RNA", at positions 338 to 795 of the family's 1533-position model. Lineage: Bacteria; Pseudomonadati; Pseudomonadota; Gammaproteobacteria; Oceanospirillales; Halomonadaceae. The record is from RNAcentral.